RNAcentral lists this transfer RNA (64 nucleotides) under Serrognathus platymelus. RNAcentral describes it as "tRNA-Leu". Lineage: Eukaryota; Metazoa; Arthropoda; Insecta; Coleoptera; Lucanidae. The record is from RNAcentral. RNAcentral also lists the same sequence under 1 other name.
AUUGCUUUGGCAGAUAAGUGCAAUAAAUUUAGAAUUUAUGAAUGUAUGUAUAAUACAGGUAAUA